AUUGAACGCUGGCGGCAGGCCUAACACAUGCAAGUCGAACGAGUGGCGGACGGGUGAGUAAUGUAUGGGAAACUGCCUGAUGGAGGGGGAUAACUACGGGAAACGGUAGCUAAUACCGCAUAACAUCUGAUGUGCCGAGAUGGGAUUAGCUAGUAGGUGGGGUAAAGGCUCCCCUAGGCGACGAACCCUAGCUGGGCUGAGCGGAUGACCGGCCACACUGGAACUGAGACACGGUCCAGAGUCCUACGGGAGGCAGCAGUGGGGAAUAUUGCACAAUGGGCGCAAGUCUGAUGCAGCCAUGCCGCGUGUAUGAAGAAGGCCUUCGGGUUGUAAAGUACUGUCAGCGAGGAGGCGUUACUCGCAGAAGAAGCACCGGCUAACUCCGUGCCAGCAGCCGCGGUAAUAC
RNAcentral lists this ribosomal RNA (406 nucleotides) under uncultured bacterium. Its description in RNAcentral is "partial 16S ribosomal RNA". It matches the Rfam family "Bacterial small subunit ribosomal RNA", at positions 30 to 526 of the family's 1533-position model. The record is from RNAcentral.